Molecule: ribosomal RNA, 817 nt
Filed under: uncultured Alphaproteobacteria bacterium
Lineage: Bacteria; Pseudomonadati; Pseudomonadota; Alphaproteobacteria
Description: bacterial SSU rRNA
Rfam family: Bacterial small subunit ribosomal RNA
Source: RNAcentral
CAUGCAUGUCGAACGCCCCGCAAGGGGAGUGGCAGACGGGUGAGUAACGCGUGGGAGUCUACCCUUUUCUACGGAACAACUGAGUGGAAACUUCAGCUAAUACCGUAUACGCGCCGAGAGGCGAAAGAUUUAUCGGAGAAGGAUGAGCCCGCGUGUGGAUUAGCUAGUUGGUGGGGUAAAGGCCUACCAAGGCGACGAUCCAUAGCUGGUCUGAGAGGAUGAUCAGCCACACUGGGACUGAGACACGGCCCACACUCCUACGGGAGGCAGCAGUGGGGAAUAUUGGGCAAUGGGCGCAAGCCUGAUCCAGCCAUGCCGCGUGAGUGAUGAAGGCCCUAGGGUUGUAAAGCUCUUUCACCGGUGAAGAUAAUGACGGUAACCGGAGAAGAAGCCCCGGCUAACUUCGUGCCAGCAGCCGCGGUAAUACGAAGGGGGCUAGCGCUGUUCGGAUUUACUGGGCGUAAAGCGCACGUAGGCGGACUAUUAAGUCAGGGGUGAAAUCCCGGGGCUCAACCCCGGAGCUGCCUUUGAUACUGGUAGUCUUGGGUUCGAGAGAGGUGAGUGGAAUUCCGAGUGUAGAGGUGAAAUUCGUACAUGUUCGGAGGAACACCUGUGGCGAACGCGGCUCACUGGCUCGAUACUGACGCUGAAGUGCGAAACCGAUGGGAGCAAACAGGAUUAGAAACUCUGGUAGUACACGCCGUACACUAUGAGAGCUAGUCCGUCGGCAGUAUACUGUUCGGUGGCACAUCUAACGCAAUAGGCUCUCUGCCUCGGGAGUACGGUCGCACGAUUACUACUUCAAUGAGUUGACGGG